AUGAUGAAAUUACUGGAAUUCAAUUUUCAGAUACAAUACAAGAAAGGCAUAGCAAACAAGGUGGCUGAUGCCUUGUCCAGAGUCCUGCCAUCUUGUUUUGCUAUAUCUGUAGCCACUCCAAUCUGGGCACAAGAACUGGUGGAAGGAUAUCAGAAGGAUCCAACUACUAAGGCAAUCCUGGAGAAGCUGCUGUUGCAACCAAACCAUACUAUGUCUGACUAUAGUCUGAAGGCUGGCAUUAUCAGAUAUAGAGGAAGAAUCUUAGUGGGAGAAUUUUCCAACUUAUGGCAGAGAUUAAUUACUGCUUUGCACAGUUCUCCAAUUGGUGGUCACUCUGGUACUAGGGCUACAUAUCAGAGAAUCAAGAACAUAUUCUAUUGGCCUGGCCUCAAAGCUGCUGUAGAAUCAUUUAUUACAGCUUGUCCAAUUUGCCAAAGAGCUAAACAUGAGAACUGCUUGCAGCCUGGUCUUCUAGAACCACUCCCAAUAGUUGACAUGGCCUGGCAUCAUGUAAUCAUGGAUUUUAUAGAAGGGCUGCCCAACUCUCAAGGCAACGAAGUCAUACUGGUUGUUGUGGACAGGUUUACAAAAUAUGCCCAUUUCAUUCCCCUGUCACAUCCUUAUAAUGUGAUGACUGUAGCCCAGGCCUUUAUGGACAACAUUAUCAGAUUGCAUGGCCCUCCCAAAGUCAUUAUAACAGACAGGGACAGAAUCUUUACAAGCAAGUUGUGGAAAGACAUCUUUGCAGGAAUGAAAAGUGAGUUGAGAUAUAGCACAGCCUAUCACCCACAAACUGAUGGUCAAACAGAAAGAGUAAACCAAUGUGUAGAAACCUAUCUCAGGUGCAUGACAACUUCUCACCCAAACAAGUGGUGUUCCUGGUUACCUCUAGCAGAAUUUUGGUACAAUACUACUUAUCACACUGCCUUGAAAAUGUCCCCCUUCCAAGCCUUAUAUGGAUUUCCUCCUCCAUUGAUUUCGGAACUAGCAAUACCAGGACCUGAUGAGGAAGAAGCACACAAUUUCCUAGCUGCUAAACAGCAAAUGAUGGAGCAACUGAAGGAAAAUCUACAGCAAGCUCAAAACAGAAUGAAAAAGUAUGCAGACCUUAAAAGAAGUGAAAGGAUGUUUGAAGUGGGAGAUAUGGUAUACUUAAAAAUGGCUCCCUACAGAUUAGCAGCUUUUGGAUUCCGAGGAGCCUUGAAGCUACAAAACAAGUAUUAUGGACCAUUCUUAGUUAUCCAGAAAGUGGGCAAGCUGGCAUACAAGUUACAGUUUCCUCCUCAUGUGCAAAUCCACCCUGUUUUUCAUGUCAGCCAGUUGAAAAAGCACAUUGGUCGUAAAUCUAUUCCAAGCCCUAAUCUACCAAUGGUAGCAGCGGAUGGAACUAUUAAAACAGGGCCAGAAGCAGUGUUGCAAGUGAGGCAAAUUCCCAGGCAUAAUCUCCCUGUGGUGCAGUGGUUUAUACAGUGGGAAAAUCUAUCUCCAGAAGAAGCAACAUGGGAGGAUGCGGACUUCAUCAAGUACACAUUUCCUGACUUUUUCAAGAUCACUACACAAGCAUGGCGCGCACAUCAACAAACGCCGUGA
This 1590-nucleotide ribosomal RNA is filed under the name Triticum aestivum (bread wheat). Its description in RNAcentral is "partial small subunit ribosomal RNA". Lineage: Eukaryota; Viridiplantae; Streptophyta; Magnoliopsida; Poales; Poaceae. The record is from RNAcentral.